Lineus longissimus is the source of this 278-nucleotide long non-coding RNA. RefSeq lists it as uncharacterized. NCBI's taxonomy places the organism in Eukaryota, Metazoa, Nemertea, Pilidiophora, Heteronemertea, Lineidae. The record is from RefSeq and is a predicted model, not a curated record. The transcript has 3 exons.
UUACAAGUUGUGGAUAUCAAACAAUCAAAUUUACUUUUUUCGUGGAUAAAGGAUUUUUCUGAGACUGGUUAUUGGAUUAUGAUAUUAGUGUGUGGAGUUACAUGUAGGCCUAUUUAAUUCUGGAAAUAAUCGAUAAAGCGAUAAGGAUUACUUCGAUCUCUUUCAGGAGAGAUUAUUCCUCAUUGAUUUGCCAGAAAGGGUUCAUCUGGUCCUCAUGGUUACAUAAAGGAUGGGCCUUCACGAGGUGCUUUCAGCAUGUUCAAUUUGCGGAAGAGUCG